GGAUAGUUGGCUGAGAGGCCGAAAGCAGUCGGUUGCUAACCGAUAAACUGGAAACGGUUCACAGGUUCGAAUCCUGUACUAUCCGCCA
Molecule: transfer RNA, 88 nt
Filed under: Escherichia phage vB_EcoS_ASO78B
Lineage: Duplodnaviria; Heunggongvirae; Uroviricota; Caudoviricetes
Description: tRNA-Ser
Rfam family: tRNA
About the family: Transfer RNA (tRNA) molecules are approximately 80 nucleotides in length. Their secondary structure includes four short double-helical elements and three loops (D, anti-codon, and T loops).
Source: RNAcentral